AUUGAACGCUGGCGGCAGGCCUAACACAUGCAAGUCGAGCGGAUGAAGGGAGCUUGCUCCUGGAUUCAGCGGCGGACGGGUGAGUAAUGCCUAGGAAUCUGCCUGGUAGUGGGGGAUAACGUCCGGAAACGGGCGCUAAUACCGCAUACGUCCUGAGGGAGAAAGUGGGGGAUCUUCGGACCUCACGCUAUCAGAUGAGCCUAGGUCGGAUUAGCUAGUUGGUGGGGUAAAGGCCUACCAAGGCGACGAUCCGUAACUGGUCUGAGAGGAUGAUCAGUCACACUGGAACUGAGACACGGUCCAGACUCCUACGGGAGGCAGCAGUGGGGAAUAUUGGACAAUGGGCGAAAGCAUGAUCCAGCAAUGCCGCGUGUGUGAAGAAGGUCUUCGGAUUGUAAAGCACUUUAAGUUGGGAGGAAGGGCAGUAAGUUAAUACCUUGCUGUUUUGACGUUACCAACAGAAUAAGCACCGGCUAACUUCGUG
Molecule: ribosomal RNA, 484 nt
Filed under: uncultured bacterium
Lineage: Bacteria
Description: partial 16S ribosomal RNA
Rfam family: Bacterial small subunit ribosomal RNA
Source: RNAcentral